Molecule: ribosomal RNA, 305 nt
Filed under: uncultured bacterium
Lineage: Bacteria
Description: bacterial SSU rRNA
Rfam family: Bacterial small subunit ribosomal RNA
Source: RNAcentral
CCUACGGGGCGCAGCAGUGGGGGAUAUUGCACAAUGGGGGAAACCCUGAUGCAGCGACGCCGCGUGAGCGAUGAAGUAUUUCGGUAUGUAAAGCUCUAUCAGCAGGGAAGAAAAUGACGGUACCUGACUAAGAAGCCCCGGCUAACUACGUGCCAGCAGCCGCGGUAAUACGUAGGGGGCAAGCGUUGUCCGGAUUUACUGGGUGUAAAGGGAGCGUAGACGGCAGUGCAAGUCUGAAGUGAAAGGCAAGGGAUCAACCCUUGGAAUGCUUUGGAAACUGUGCUGCUGGAGUGUCGGAGAGGCAA